GAUGAAGAACGUAGCGAAAUGCGAUACUUGGUGUGAAUUGCAGAAUCCCGUGAACCAUCGAGUCUUUGAACGCAAGUUGCGCCUCAAGCCAUUAGGUUGAGGGCACGUCUGCCUGGGCGUCACAUAUCGUUGCCUGAUGCCAGUUUCCUCGUGAUGGGUGACUGUGCAGGGCGAAUCAUGGCUUCCCGUGAGCAUUGUUGCCUCAUGGUUGGUUGAAAAUUGAGUCCUUGGUAGGGAGCGCCGUGAUAGAUGGUGGUUGAGUGACGAACGAGACCCAAUCAUGUGAGACCCCUACCGAAUUUGGCCUUCAUGACCCACAUGCGUCUUUGGAACGCUCAUGACGAGACCUCAGGUCAGGCGGGGCUACCCGCUGAGUUUAAGCAUAUCAAUAAGCGGAGGA
RNAcentral lists this unclassified non-coding RNA (400 nucleotides) under soil metagenome. Its description in RNAcentral is "partial contains 5.8S ribosomal RNA, internal transcribed spacer 2, and large subunit ribosomal RNA". The stretch from base 1 to 122 matches the Rfam family "5.8S ribosomal RNA", at positions 35 to 154 of the family's 154-position model. The record is from RNAcentral.